Molecule: microRNA precursor, 59 nt
Filed under: Branchiostoma lanceolatum (amphioxus)
Lineage: Eukaryota; Metazoa; Chordata; Leptocardii; Amphioxiformes; Branchiostomatidae
Description: Bla-Mir-4872-P6b_pre stem-loop
Source: RNAcentral
AUACGGGGCAGUUAUAUCCAUGUCUUUGCUCAACAACAUGGAAUAACUUCCCCGUACUC